UCCGAUACGUUUUCCGGAACAUAGAAACAUGAAACACGUUAUGGACUACUGAAAGUACUGGAGGGAAGGCUAGAUGAUAUGCAACCAGGCCUGUAAUAUCCGCUAACUCCGAAAGGGUAUUUUUGUAAUUUUAUUUAGCUUAGAGUAUUUUUUUUUAUUUUACAUAUUUAUGGAUUUAAAUAUGUAUGGGAUUAUUUUUAUGAUGAUAUAAUAUUUGAUUUUAUUGGCAUGUGCAUAAUGCCUAAUAGAUACAUAUGUCUGAAUAUUGUUAUAUGGGUAUAUUAUUAUUAUUAUUAUUUUUAUUAUUAUUAUUAUUAUUAUUAUUAACAUAUUAUUAUACGUAUUAUUAUUAUUAUUAUUAUUAUUAUUAUUAUUAUUAUUAUUAUUAUUAUUAUUAUUAUUAUUGUUAUUAACUGUUAUAUACGUAUAUACACACGAACGAUUCAACCGAACCGAAUGCCUAUUUUGGUGGAAUGGGAAUCGCUCCACUUCGGUUCAAUGCGAUAUUUUGCUUGGGUUUAAACACGAUAGAAAUUAGGUUUUAAACUUUAUUUUCGUUCACCCAAAACAGAGAACCAACGAGAGAGAGAGAGCACGUAUACGGCGUAUACGGUACCGAAAACUUUCGUUUCUUCAAGCGGAGUGAAACCUGGGUGAACGUGGGGGUUUGGGAUCACUUAUAUACGACCUAAGGAAGCUUUUUAACGUGGUAUAAGGGGCGGAAGUCGUCGUUUUGAGAUUCGCCAUUUUUGAAGCUUCAAAGGUGCGGCUUAGUUACGGACUCGAAUUCGAACGUGUUUAAGCUUGUUCUUGGGUCAAGGGAGGUUAUAUUUGAGUGCAUGGGACCCUAAGGAUUGUUUUUGACGUAAGAAAACGAAGCUUUAACGUCCAAAACGAAAAUCCAAAAUUUUGGACUCCAUUAAAGACGGUACACCGCCAACGAAGAAGACAACCCCGAUCUGCCUUCUCGGACCACUUUUCUUGAUCGUUUUGAGGUCCUGAGCAUUGUGGAGAGCUUCCCCAAUCGAAAGGACGCUUCAAGAGCCAUCGGAGACAAAGUUACACUUUACCGGCGACGAAACCGACGAGAACUCCGGCGACACUCCGUUCAGGGGUUUCUGGAGGAUCUUGUUCUCAACAAGGAAAUUCGUUGAGGUGCUCGAGGUAGCAAGUGUGGUCUUAGCAACUGAGGUAAGGGUAAGGCUAAGCAGUGAGAAUGAAGAGCUCGAGGCGUGGACCGCAUGUUAGGGGGCUGGCACGGUAUUUUGCUUUUAAUGUUUUUAACUGCUAAACAUUUUGGAACUAUUAUUUUGACUUAACUAGUUCUUAUUUAAGUUUACAGUACUAAAAGAAUUUUGUUUUAAACAAUGAGAUCUCAUGCUUGGAUAUUUUUCAAUAAAGAAGUAUUUGUUUGUCUUUA
Molecule: long non-coding RNA, 1420 nt
Organism: Cannabis sativa
Lineage: Eukaryota; Viridiplantae; Streptophyta; Magnoliopsida; Rosales; Cannabaceae
Exons: 2
Source: RefSeq, a predicted model, not a curated record